Spea bombifrons (plains spadefoot toad) is the source of this 235-nucleotide long non-coding RNA. RefSeq lists it as uncharacterized. Lineage: Eukaryota; Metazoa; Chordata; Amphibia; Anura; Pelobatidae. The record is from RefSeq and is a predicted model, not a curated record. The transcript has 3 exons.
CAAAUCUGUCACCCUGGAGCCGACGGGAGCAGAGAACGCCCUUCUGAUGUCUGCUUCCCGGUUACAUUGUGUGCAGAAAGUGCUCAAAGAUGUUAGACAUUGGAGUGAAGAGGAGAUUCACUAGUGAUUGUGACAUCGGAGUGAAGAGGAGACUCACUAGUGAUUAUUGCCUACUGACACUAUGUUUGUUCAAUCAUCCGCUACUUAGGACACCCUUUUGCUUGAUGCUCCCAGG